Non-coding RNA from Daphnia carinata, 72 nucleotides. The record is from the annotation of a RefSeq genome assembly. NCBI's taxonomy places the organism in Eukaryota, Metazoa, Arthropoda, Branchiopoda, Diplostraca, Daphniidae.
GCGAUGGUGGUGUAGCGGUUAGCAUGGCUGCCUUCCAAGCAGUCGACCCGAGUUUGAUUCUUGGCCAUCGCA